UCUGAGAUACAGUGAUUUAGUGUUUGGGGUUGACAAAGAAGAGGGAAACAAAGUCAUGUUUAAAUCUGGUGAAAGUGUCUUAUUCUGAACCCUGGACCUGAAUUCACCCCAGAGCCUCACCUGGACCCGGGGCAUCAUCUCAACAAGUCAUCUAUUCAGCCCCCAUAACUGCUGCCGGUAAUAAUAACUCCUCAGCUGCGGCACUGAGACCCUCUAUUAAAUCGCACGUUGGUCCAGAUUCAGUUGUCAUGACAACAAACACAAAGACGAGCAGAAGAAGACAACAGCUGGACGGAGAAAUGGUUAAAACGGGAAUGAAACAGGAAGUCGACCUCAGAGCGUCGCCGCUGACACCGAUAAUCCAGUGCGAGCAUGAAAGUGACGCAUCAGCAGAUUCAAACUACCGAGGCGCAAACAGGGGAGAAAAAAUGAGGGCUACAUUUUCCUGCAUCAGGGUGGAGACGUGUAGAGGAGAAAAAGGAGGAGAAACAAGAAGAUCAGGACGAGAGGAGACAACUGGACCUCCAUCAUCUCCUCCCGCACCGGAGGACGACUAAAGCCAACGAGCCUCGUGGAGCACAGAUUUCCUCUAACAACCUAAUUGAAUUUCUGAAUGCAUGAGUGACUCCAGUGUUGAAGUCACUCGUGCAAUAUAUAUAUAUAUAAGAAGGAAUAUGAAAAUAAAAUGAAGAUAAAACACA
Haplochromis burtoni (Burton's mouthbrooder) is the source of this 701-nucleotide long non-coding RNA. RefSeq lists it as uncharacterized. The record is from RefSeq and is a predicted model, not a curated record. NCBI's taxonomy places the organism in Eukaryota, Metazoa, Chordata, Actinopteri, Cichliformes, Cichlidae. The transcript is spliced from 2 exons.